UGGACCACCGAUGACGACUGGCUCAUAUGAGUUAUGAAUAAUGAAUAAGAUGAAUCUGGAAUUCUGAGGUUUAA
Molecule: small nucleolar RNA, 74 nt
Organism: Myotis lucifugus (little brown bat)
Lineage: Eukaryota; Metazoa; Chordata; Mammalia; Chiroptera; Vespertilionidae
Source: Ensembl